GGGCAGUGUGUGUUUUUGUCCAGUAGAUGUCAGCAGAACGACUCUAAACUCACAGCUCAUUAUCCGACUUUUUAACAACUUUUUAGCAAAGACAUAAAAAAGUUUAAUAUUGUAUUAAAGUUUGGAAAAUUAUUGUAUCACAAAAUUCUAUAAUUGUGUUUAGAUUUGGAUGUAGAUGAUCAAAUAAAGUUGUAUUUUUACAGUCCCUCUAA
This is a non-coding RNA of Xyrichtys novacula (pearly razorfish), 212 nucleotides long. The record is from the annotation of a GenBank genome assembly. Lineage: Eukaryota; Metazoa; Chordata; Actinopteri; Labriformes; Labridae.